AUUGAACGCUGGCGGCAGGCCUAACACAUGCAAGUCGAGCGAGCGGCGGACGGGUGAGUAAUGUCUGGGAAACUGCCUGAUGGAGGGGGAUAACUACUGGAAACGGUAGCUAAUACCGCAUACCAUCAGAUGUGCCCAGAUGGGAUGAGCUUGGAGGGGGGGUAAUGGCUCACAUAGGCGACGAUCCCUAGCGGGUCUGAUAGGAUGACCAGCCACACUGGAACGGAGACACGGUCCAGAACCCUACGGGAGGCAGCAGUGGGGAAUAUUGCACAAGGGGCGCAAGCCUGAUGCAGCCAUGCCGCGUGUGUGAAGAAGGCCUUCGGGUUGUAAAGCACUUUCAGCGGGGAGGCGUUACCCGCAGAAGAAGCACCGGCUAACUCUGUGCCAGCAGCCGCGGUAAUAC
RNAcentral lists this ribosomal RNA (406 nucleotides) under uncultured bacterium. RNAcentral describes it as "partial 16S ribosomal RNA". It matches the Rfam family "Bacterial small subunit ribosomal RNA", at positions 29 to 526 of the family's 1533-position model. The record is from RNAcentral.